CAAUAGAUAAUAAAUAAUUAUGUUUAAAAAAAUUUAUUAAAGGUUUAUUUUAUAUAUAAAUUAUAGUGUUAAAUUAUUGUUAUUUUAAUAAUAAUAAUAUUAUUAUUAUAGUAAAUAAAAUUAAAAAUUUAAGAAAUUAAGAUUUAGUAAUACAAAAAUUAAUAACAAAUUUUGUGCCAGCAGUUGCGGUUACACAAAAAUUAAAUUGAAUUAUUUCAGUUUAUAAAUAAUAAAUUAAAAUUAAAAUAAAUAUUAAAUUAUUAGGUAAAAUUUUAAUUUAAUUAAAUUUUAUAAUUAAAUUUAUGUUUUAAUAAAUUUUAAAUUAAACUAGGAUUAGAUACCCUAUUAUUAAAAAUUUAAAUUAUAAUACUAAAAUAGUAAAUAAUUAUUUAUUGAAACUUAAAUAAUAUGGCGGUAUUUUAGUUCAUUUAGAGGAAUCUGUUUAAUAAUUGAUAAUCCACGAUUAAAUUUACUUAAUUAAUAAUUUUAUAUAUCGUUGUUAAAAAAAUAUUUUUAAUUAAUAAUAAUAUUUAAAAAUUAAGAUAAAAAAUUAAUUCAGAUCAAGAUGUAGAUUAUAAUUAAGAAUAUAAUGGAUUACAAUGAAAUUAUUUAAAUGGAUAUAUCAUUGAAAAAUGAAAUUGAAGGUGGAUUUAAAUGUAAUUUUAUUUAAUUAAAUAAAAUGAUUUAAAAUUAAAAUAUGUACAUAUUGCCCGUCACUUUCAUUUUAAAGUUGAAAUAAGUCGUAACAAAGUAGAGGUACUGGAAAGUGUUUCUAGAAAA
Molecule: non-coding RNA, 780 nt
Filed under: Parantica sita
Lineage: Eukaryota; Metazoa; Arthropoda; Insecta; Lepidoptera; Nymphalidae
Source: RNAcentral